GCCACUGUGGUUGCUGUCCGCGGAGUGGAAGUGCGUGCCUUUGUUAGUGUCCCUGGCCAUGGCGCUGCAGCUGUCCCGGGAGCAGGGAAUCACCCUUCACAGGAGCGCCAAAAUUGUGGCCGAGUUCUUCUCAUUCAUCAUCAACAGCAUUUUAUAUCAGCGUGGCAUAUAUCCAUCUGAAACUUUUACUAGAGUGCAGAAAUACGGACUCACCUUGCUUGUAACUACUGAUCUUGAGCUCAUAAAAUAUCUAAAUAACGUGGUGGAACAACUAAAAGAUUGGUUAUACAAGUGUUCAGUUCAGAAACUGGUUGUAGUUAUCUCAAAUAUUGAAAGUGGUGAGGUCCUGGAAAGACGGCAGUUUGAUAUUGAGUGUGACAAGACUGCAAAAGAUGACAGUGCACCCAGAGAAAAAUCUCAGAAAGCUAUCCAGGAUGAAAUCCGUUCAGUGAUCAGACAGAUCACAGCUACAGUGACAUUUCUGCCACUGUUGGAAGUUUCUUGUUCAUUUGAUCUGCUGAUUUAUACAGACAAAGAUUUGGUUGUACCUGAAAAAUGGGAAGAGUUGGUACCACAGUUUAUUACCAAUUCUGAGGAAAUCUGCCUUCGUUCAUUUACUACUACAAUCCACAAAGUAAAUAGCAUGGUGGCCCACAAAAUUCCUGUCAAUGACUGAGGAUGACUAUGAGGAAAAUAAUGUAAUUGUAAUUUUGAAAUUUGGUUUUCCUGAAAUCAAGUCAUCUAUAGUUAAUAUGUUUUAUUUCAUUGGUUAAUUUUUACAUGGAGAAAACCAAAAUGAUACUUACUGAACUGUAAUUGUUCCUUUUAUUUUUUGGUACCUAUUUGACUUAUCAUGGAGUUAACAUCAUGAAUUUAUUGCACAUUGUUCAAAAGGAACCAGGAAUUUUUUUUGUCAACGUUGUGAUGUAUAUUCCUUUGAAGAUAGUAACUGUAGAUGGAAAAACUUGUGCUAUAAAGCUAAAUGCUUUCCUAAAUCAGAUGUUUUGGUCAAGUAGCUCGACUCAGUAUAGGUAGGGAUACAAAAUACAGCAAAAGAAGUCUAAAUAUUCAGAAUCUUUGUUAAGGUCCUGAAAGUAACUAAUAAUCUAUAAACAAUGAAAUAUUGCUGUAUUAGCUCCUUUUGACCUUCAUUUCAUGUAUAGUUUUCCCUAAUGAAUCAGUUUCCAAUUAUUUGACUUUAAUUUAUGUAACUUCAACCUAUGAAGCAAUGGAUAUUUGUACUCUUUAAUGUUCUGUGACACAGAACUCUUAAAAAUGUUUUUUUGUGUGUGUGUCUGUGUUUUAUAAAAUCAAGUUUUAAGUAAAAGUGAGGAAAU
Molecule: RNA transcript, 1337 nt
Organism: Mandrillus leucophaeus (drill)
Lineage: Eukaryota; Metazoa; Chordata; Mammalia; Primates; Cercopithecidae
Gene name: mitotic spindle assembly checkpoint protein MAD2A pseudogene
Exons: 1
Source: RefSeq, a predicted model, not a curated record